UGGGGAAUUUUGGACAAUGGGCGCAAGCCUGAUCCAGCCAUGCCGCGUGCGGGAAGAAGGCCUUCGGGUUGUAAACCGCUUUUGUCAGGGAAGAAAUCUUCUGAGUUAAUACCUCGGGAGGAUGACGGUACCUGAAGAAUAAGCACCGGCUAACUACGUGCCAGCAGCCGCGGUAAUACGUAGGGUGCAAGCGUUAAUCGGAAUUACUGGGCGUAAAGCGUGCGCAGGCGGUUUUGUAAGACAGAGGUGAAAUCCCCGGGCUCAACCUGGGAACUGCCUUUGUGACUGCAAGGCUUGAGUGCGGCAGAGGGGGAUGGAAUUCCGCGUGUAGCAGUGAAAUGCGUAGAUAUGCGGAGGAACACCGAUGGCGAAGGCAAUCCCCUGGGCCUGCACUGACGCUCAUGCACGAAAGCGUGGGGAGCAAACAGGAUUAGAUACCCUGGUAGUCCACGCCCUAAACGAUGUCAACUGGUUGUUGGGAAGGUUCCUUCUCAGUAACGUAGCUAACGCGUGAAGUUGACCGCCUGGGGAGUACGGCCGCAAGGUCGAAAC
RNAcentral lists this ribosomal RNA (552 nucleotides) under uncultured bacterium. RNAcentral's name for it is "partial 16S ribosomal RNA". It matches the Rfam family "Bacterial small subunit ribosomal RNA", at positions 355 to 900 of the family's 1533-position model. The record is from RNAcentral.